CCGAGAUUCCAGGGCGCCGCCGCAAGGCCGCGACCCUCACUCUCCCAACCCUUUGUUAAACGUACACGUUGCCUCGGGGGCCUCACCGCCCCCGAUGGACACACCACAAACACUGCAUCCCUGCGUCGGAGUAUUGAAACAAAUCAAUCA
This 150-nucleotide unclassified non-coding RNA is filed under the name uncultured fungus. RNAcentral's name for it is "sequence contains ITS1, 5.8S rRNA gene". The record is from RNAcentral. Lineage: Eukaryota; Fungi.